GCGGGCUCGCACAACCCCUCUCCUCGACUCCUCCUCUCCCCGACCUCUCUCCUCUCCUCCCAAUCUAGGCGGCUGCGCGGAUCCUUCCUAGCAGCGCCGCCGACCACAACUUCGACCCCGACCAGCGGCCCCCCUCACUCGUUCUUGACCGCUAGCGGCAGCACGCAUAGUGAAACGGCGGCGCCAUCUCCGCUGAUUUGCCUACGACGACGGUGUGCUCGGAGCCGUCCUUCAAGGUGGAACGCGACCACCCCUGCCAUCCAUCCCUCUAGGAAGAUCCUAUGCCACUGGCCUUGUGGCUCUGGAGCCCCUUGUAGGUGCACAACCAGGACGAACGUGCCAUAAGCGCAUCAAGGGAUUUGGGGCACUUAUCUGCAGGACAUGACACCUUCUCCUAUGGACGUUGAUGUCAAACCCUCCUCCCAAGGUCCAAACUUUGUGCUAUGAAGUAAAGGAAAUAUUUCUGGAGGAAACUAAUGUUCAUGUACGGUAUCUUUCCCAUAAUUUUGCAAUGGCGCCAUUUUAUUAAUAUAGUUAAUUGGUUGUUACAAAAUAUAAGGAUGGUUUCCUCUGUUCAGUUUUAGUAACAUGAUGCUAUCAUCCUCAUAGUUUUGUUCUGCACUUGUAUUUAUUAAUGUUCUAUUCAGUUUUCUUGCGUGGAAGCGACCAACUAGAAAAGGCAGGACAGGUUUCUUAAUAAUGAUCAUGUUUUGGUGCUACACACAAGAAGUUGCCUGCUCCGAGUUUUAUUUCAUGAAGCAUACUUCAAUCUUUGAUACAAGUGGACGAUAGUGUUACUGUCGGCCUGUAUUUGGUUGCUGCUGCACGAUUACAUGAAUCAUUUUUCUCCAGAAUUGUUGUGUCAUCCGAGCAUUUUACUCUAUACAGGUAUGCAACUUGAAAUCUCCCAAAUCAAAUUCAUUCGUUUGCUCACUUCAAUGGUAAUUUCAUAGUUUAUAUUACUAUGUAAUUCCUCCAAGUUUCUUUCAUAGAUUCAAAUUUAUUAUGAUUAAAUUUAUAUCAAGGAAAAGUUUUCAUCAUAUUUUUGGUAGAAUUCUCAAUGUUCUAUGUGUUUGUCCUUUUUGUUCCGUCCAAUUAGGCUUGAAAUAAGUUCCACUGUUCUUUACUUCGGCAGUGUAUUGCCUUGUUGUAUCAGUGUGUCGCCAGUCCUCAUCUCCCACUAUGCAUGCGUGUUGCUUUGGGAAUCGUCGCAAAGGAGAUUACAAUGUAAUUUUGCUAGAUUUUUAAUGACUUCAGUUCGUUUGAAUGUGGGACCUAAUAGGCGACACAUGUAAUAGUAUUUUGACUUAUCUACUUUUAGUGUAGGAGGCCUAUGCGAGCAUGGAGAAAACAUUCAAACCAUCUAAUCGUAAAUCCGUCGCACGUACAAUUUUUUAUGUUAUAAAUCUCUAGGUAUCGACUACUUUACGUAAUUCUAAUUUCUAAUUCAACAAUUCCUUCCAUAUUAUAACUCAGAAGUCUUCUAUGUGUAUCAUAUAUUGAGUUUCAGAUGGACCCUAAGAUAGCAUUGGAGCACCAACUUAGUUCCAACGUAAAUACAUGAUUCUGGAGUCCCACAGCUGGAAACAUUUAGUACUUACCAUUUUUCUCAUUUCCUACAGUUUUUAUUUCCAUGUUCCAUAAAUAGCUGAUUAAGUGCCUGAAAGAAACCAGUUGCUAUAUAUAUUUGAUCUAGCAAAUAAGCAAGUACAAUAUACUAGAGUCUAUGAAUGUCUUGAAUUUUGUUGCAAUAUAUGUCAACAUCCAAAUUUUAUUUUGCGCAUCCUGUAGAUUAUCUUUCUCUAAAUCGGCCCUUUUCCAGUUAUGAGCAGCAAUAGUACUACAUUAAGAUUAUAACUUUAGUACAGUUUUUUGCUUUCUAAUUCACGAGUGUCUCUGCUAUUACUGGAGUGCAGACUCGGAAUCUAAGUUUUACCAUGUGAUGCCACGGCAACUGUCUGUCUGGCGAACACGACUGAACCUUAUAAGCUAGCCUCAAGAACACAAAAGUCCAUUCCCUUUGGUUCUGCUGGUCCUCAUAAAUACUCAUGUUGCUUACUACAGUUCCGAGGUAUAUACAAGAAGCGAGGGUGCCAAUCAGGAUAUAGACUGUUAUGCUCAAACUUAUUCAACAUUAUUGCAGAAAGUUUGGUAGUUGCCAGAUGAAGUUGUUGAAGAGGAUUCAAGUAUCAUUUCAAUAAAAAGUAUUUGAUUGACUCUUUGCUGAAAUUAAUUUUAGUACACUAAUGCAUUGACGCACGGGUUGCAUGCUAGGUGUACUGACCUAUUACACAUCUUCGCAUUUAUUCCAGUUAACUUUCGUUCUAAUACUCUUUGUUUUUCUCUUACACAAGAGACAAGAUGUUACUUGCUAUAUCAGUUAUGUUGUCAUGCCACAGCCUGGUUGCUGAUUGGUUGACAUUUCAAUUUGGAUUAUAUUUAAUUCAUACAAGUCUAGCGACACCGUUUUCCAUGCUGAUGUCUUGGUAAGGCUUUUCAUGUAUCGAAUGGAAUUGUCGGUCUGUCACUUUCUUACCGCCUGGCCGGUCUUUAAUAAAACAAGCAAACAAAAAUGAAUUAUAUGAUUAGUACAUGCAUAUCCAUAUUAUGGAGGAUAUUUUUAUUUGAUAAUUCUAAAAAAUUAUAAUCCUUGUUAGCACUCUUAUCACAUGAAUGUGUGAACUCUGUGAGAAAUGGCUAGGUGCAUCAGGCCCACCCAGUUCUUUGUUUCCGAACAUGGUGGCCCUUUAGGCUCUCACCAAAUUCUUUAUUUCUCAAUAUGGUGACCCUUUAGUAGAGGCCUGUGAAGAGUUUGAAAAUGCACCAUGUAUACAAUCUAUGGCUUAUUGCUUAUUUUGUCUUGGUAGUACUGAUUAGUUGUAUUUACAAUCUAAAUUGUUGUAUAUAUUUUAUACCCAGCCAAUUUGAAUAUGUGAAGCAUGAUUUUACCGUGUGUAUAUGAGAUUUCCUCA
Molecule: long non-coding RNA, 2972 nt
Organism: Aegilops tauschii subsp. strangulata
Lineage: Eukaryota; Viridiplantae; Streptophyta; Magnoliopsida; Poales; Poaceae
Source: RefSeq, a predicted model, not a curated record